Molecule: ribosomal RNA, 2878 nt
Filed under: Klebsiella variicola
Lineage: Bacteria; Pseudomonadati; Pseudomonadota; Gammaproteobacteria; Enterobacterales; Enterobacteriaceae
Description: partial 23S ribosomal RNA
Rfam family: Bacterial large subunit ribosomal RNA
Source: RNAcentral
GGUUAAGCGACUAAGCGUACACGGUGGAGGCCCUGGCAGUCAGAGGCGAUGAAGGACGUGCUAAUCUGCGAAAAGCAUCGGUAAGGUGAUUUGAACCGUUAUAGCGGGGGAUGUCCGAAUGGGGAAACCCAGUGCAAUUCGUUGCACUAUCGUUAACUGAAUACAUAGGUUAACGAGGCGAACCGGGGGAACUGAAACAUCUAAGUACCCCGAGGAAAAGAAAUCAACCGAGAUUCCCCCAGUAGCGGCGAGCGAACGGGGAGCAGCCCAGAGUCUGAAUCAGCUUGUGUGUUAGUGGAACGGUCUGGAAAGUCCGACGGUACAGGGUGAUAGUCCCGUACACCAAAAUGCACAGGUUGUGAACUCGAAGAGUAGGGCGGGACACGUGGUAUCCUGUCUGAAUAUGGGGGGACCAUCCUCCAAGGCUAAAUACUCCUGACUGACCGAUAGUGAACCAGUACCGUGAGGGAAAGGCGAAAAGAACCCCGGCGAGGGGAGUGAAAAAGAACCUGAAACCGUGUACGUACAAGCAGUGGGAGCACCUUUAUGGUGUGACUGCGUACCUUUUGUAUAAUGGGUCAGCGACUUAUAUUCUGUAGCAAGGUUAACCGUAUAGGGGAGCCGCAGGGAAACCGAGUCUUAACUGGGCGUUAAGUUGCAGGGUAUAGACCCGAAACCCGGUGAUCUAGCCAUGGGCAGGUUGAAGGUUGGGUAACACUAACUGGAGGACCGAACCGACUAAUGUUGAAAAAUUAGCGGAUGACUUGUGGCUGGGGGUGAAAGGCCAAUCAAACCGGGAGAUAGCUGGUUCUCCCCGAAAGCUAUUUAGGUAGCGCCUCGUGAACUCAUCUUCGGGGGUAGAGCACUGUUUCGGCUAGGGGGUCAUCCCGACUUACCAACCCGAUGCAAACUACGAAUACCGAAGAAUGUUAUCACGGGAGACACACGGCGGGUGCUAACGUCCGUCGUGAAGAGGGAAACAACCCAGACCGCCAGCUAAGGUCCCAAAGUCAUGGUUAAGUGGGAAACGAUGUGGGAAGGCACAGACAGCCAGGAUGUUGGCUUAGAAGCAGCCAUCAUUUAAAGAAAGCGUAAUAGCUCACUGGUCGAGUCGGCCUGCGCGGAAGAUGUAACGGGGCUAAACCAUGCACCGAAGCUGCGGCAGCGACACUUAUGUGUUGUUGGGUAGGGGAGCGUUCUGUAAGCCUGCGAAGGUGGCCUGUGAGGGCUGCUGGAGGUAUCAGAAGUGCGAAUGCUGACAUAAGUAACGAUAAAGCGGGUGAAAAGCCCGCUCGCCGGAAGACCAAGGGUUCCUGUCCAACGUUAAUCGGGGCAGGGUGAGUCGACCCCUAAGGCGAGGCCGAAAGGCGUAGUCGAUGGGAAACAGGUUAAUAUUCCUGUACUUGGUGUUACUGCGAAGGGGGGACGGAGAAGGCUAUGUUAGCCGGGCGACGGUUGUCCCGGUUUAAGCAUGUAGGCGGAGGUUCCAGGUAAAUCCGGUACCUUUUAACGCUGAGGUGUGAUGACGAGGCACUACGGUGCUGAAGUAACAAAUGCCCUGCUUCCAGGAAAAGCCUCUAAGCAUCAGGUAACAUUAAAUCGUACCCCAAACCGACACAGGUGGUCAGGUAGAGAAUACCAAGGCGCUUGAGAGAACUCGGGUGAAGGAACUAGGCAAAAUGGUGCCGUAACUUCGGGAGAAGGCACGCUGGUGUGUAGGUGAAGUCCCUGCGGAUGGAGCUGAGACCAGUCGAAGAUACCAGCUGGCUGCAACUGUUUAUUAAAAACACAGCACUGUGCAAACACGAAAGUGGACGUAUACGGUGUGACGCCUGCCCGGUGCCGGAAGGUUAAUUGAUGGGGUUAUCCGUAAGGAGAAGCUCUUGAUCGAAGCCCCGGUAAACGGCGGCCGUAACUAUAACGGUCCUAAGGUAGCGAAAUUCCUUGUCGGGUAAGUUCCGACCUGCACGAAUGGCGUAAUGAUGGCCAGGCUGUCUCCACCCGAGACUCAGUGAAAUUGAACUCGCUGUGAAGAUGCAGUGUACCCGCGGCAAGACGGAAAGACCCCGUGAACCUUUACUAUAGCUUGACACUGAACAUUGAGCCUUGAUGUGUAGGAUAGGUGGGAGGCUUUGAAGCGUGGACGCCAGUCUGCGUGGAGCCAACCUUGAAAUACCACCCUUUAAUGUUUGAUGUUCUAACGUUGGCCCGUAAUCCGGGUUGCGGACAGUGUCUGGUGGGUAGUUUGACUGGGGCGGUCUCCUCCCAAAGAGUAACGGAGGAGCACGAAGGUUAGCUAAUCCUGGUCGGACAUCAGGAGGUUAGUGCAAUGGCAUAAGCUAGCUUGACUGCGAGCGUGACGGCGCGAGCAGGUGCGAAAGCAGGUCAUAGUGAUCCGGUGGUUCUGAAUGGAAGGGCCAUCGCUCAACGGAUAAAAGGUACUCCGGGGAUAACAGGCUGAUACCGCCCAAGAGUUCAUAUCGACGGCGGUGUUUGGCACCUCGAUGUCGGCUCAUCACAUCCUGGGGCUGAAGUAGGUCCCAAGGGUAUGGCUGUUCGCCAUUUAAAGUGGUACGCGAGCUGGGUUUAGAACGUCGUGAGACAGUUCGGUCCCUAUCUGCCGUGGGCGCUGGAGAAUUGAGGGGGGCUGCUCCUAGUACGAGAGGACCGGAGUGGACGCAUCACUGGUGUUCGGGUUGUCAUGCCAAUGGCACUGCCCGGUAGCUAAAUGCGGAAGAGAUAAGUGCUGAAAGCAUCUAAGCACGAAACUUGCCCCGAGAUGAGUUCUCCCUGAGACUUUAAGUCUCCUGAAGGAACGUUGAAGACGACGACGUUGAUAGGCCGGGUGUGUAAGCGCAGCGAUGCGUUGAGCUAACCG